CGGGUUGUGGUGUAAUUGGGAACACAACAGAUUUUGGUUCUGUUAUUUUAGGUUCGAAUCCUGACAACCUGA
This 72-nucleotide transfer RNA is filed under the name Caudoviricetes sp. RNAcentral describes it as "tRNA-Gln". It matches the Rfam family "tRNA". From Rfam's summary of the family: Transfer RNA (tRNA) molecules are approximately 80 nucleotides in length. Their secondary structure includes four short double-helical elements and three loops (D, anti-codon, and T loops). Further hydrogen bonds mediate the characteristic L-shaped molecular structure. tRNAs have two regions of fundamental functional importance: the anti-codon, which is responsible for specific mRNA codon recognition, and the 3' end, to which the tRNAs corresponding amino acid is attached (by aminoacyl-tRNA synthetases). tRNAs cope with the degeneracy of the genetic code in two manners: having more than one tRNA (with a specific anti-codon) for a particular amino acid; and 'wobble' base-pairing, i.e. permitting non-standard base-pairing at the 3rd anti-codon position. The record is from RNAcentral. Lineage: Duplodnaviria; Heunggongvirae; Uroviricota; Caudoviricetes.